Molecule: ribosomal RNA, 437 nt
Filed under: uncultured bacterium
Lineage: Bacteria
Description: bacterial SSU rRNA
Rfam family: Bacterial small subunit ribosomal RNA
Source: RNAcentral
GCAUAACGCGAAGAACCUUACCUACCCUUGACAUGUCAGAGAUCCCUGAGAGAUUGGGGAGUGCCGCAAGGAAUCUGAACACAGGUGCUGCAUGGCUGUCGUCAGCUCGUGUCGUGAGAUGUUGGGUUAAGUCCCGCAACGAGCGCAACCCUUGUCGUUAAUUGCCAUCAUUUGGUUGGGCACUUUAACGAGACUGCCGGUGACAAACCGGAGGAAGGUGGGGAUGACGUCAAGUCCUCAUGGCCCUUAUGGGUAGGGCUUCACACGUCAUACAAUGGUCGGUACAGAGGGUUGCGAAGCCGCGAGGUGGAGCCAAUCCCAGAAAGCCGAUCGUAGUCCGGAUUGGAGGCUGCAACUCGCCUCCAUGAAGUCGGAAUCGCUAGUAAUCGCGGAUCAGAAUGCCGCGGUGAAUACGUUCCCGGGUCUUGUACACACCG